AGAUAGACAAGAAAAUACAACUUCCACAGAGAAGACUGAUUCUAUAGUUAAUGCAUCGGAAACAGAUGAGGGAUCAGGUAUUGGGUCUGCAACUGCACCUAUUGGGAAUACUGAUUCAGAUGAUAACACAGUGGAACCUGAGGGAAAAGAAGGCCUUGAGCGUACCGAUGGUACAAGCUUGUCAGCACGGAUAACACAGUGGAACCUGAGGGAAAAGCAGGCCUUGAGCGUGUCAAUGGUACAAGCUUGUCAGAAUCUUCAGCAGAUUGCAUUACAGAAUCAGAAACCCAACUUGGGAAGAGUAGUUCAUCAGAUUAUUUGACCACUUCAGUGCAACAUUUCA
RNAcentral lists this long non-coding RNA (343 nucleotides) under Nicotiana benthamiana. Its description in RNAcentral is "long non-coding RNA (NBEN_LNC032658)". The record is from RNAcentral. Lineage: Eukaryota; Viridiplantae; Streptophyta; Magnoliopsida; Solanales; Solanaceae.